UACGAAGCAAGUCAUUGCAGAAUCCGGAAAUACAAGUCUGAGCAGUCUAAAGGUUUCGCCAUUCGAAUCAAAUCAAUGGCGGGACUUCGCAACAUAAAUAGAGACGCAACAAAGCAAUUGGGAACGAUCAAGGUCACCGAACCGACCGUCAUCUCCGAACUAACAAUUGUUCUUUGUCUGAGAAGUUGAGACAGGUUUUAAUCCAAGACAACCGUGCAAGAAGCAGGUGUCGCCCAAAGAAGAAGGUACACGGGUACAAGAAACAUUUUGGCAAUAAGGAAUUCACUCAAAAGGUAAGUUCCCGCAAAACUCCCUUUCAUCUUCUAUUAAAACAAGAAAACUUAAAAAUAGAUCGUGUAGUAUUCUCGAGCUUUAUCCCCAGCCAAUCAGCAUUAGGGUUUUAAACCCUAAACUGAAUUUUCCUUUUAGUCAGCAUUAGGGUUUUAAACCCUAAACUGAACUUUUUCCUUUCAGCCAGCAUUAGAGUUUUAAACUCCAAACUGAGCUUUUCCAUGCCAUCAGCAUUAGGGUUUUAAAACCCUAAACUGAAUUUUUCUUUUAGUCAGCAUUAGGGUUUUAAACUCUAAACUGAACUUUUUCCUUUCAGCCAGCAUUAGAGUUUUAAACUCUAAACUGAGCUUUUUCAUGCCAUCAGCAUUAGGGUUUUAAACCCUAAACUGAAUUUUCCUUUUAGUCAGCAUUAGGGUUUUAAACCCUAAACUGAACUUUUCCUUUUAGCCAGCAUUAGAGUUUUAAACCCUAAACUGAGCUUUUCCAUGCAAUCAGCAUUAGGGUUUUAAAACCCUAAACUGAAUUUUCCUUUUAGUCAGCAUUAGGGUUUUAAACCCUAAACUGAACUUUUCCUUUCAGCCAGCAUUAGAGUUUUAAACUCUAAACUGAGCUUUUCCAUGCAAUCAGCAUUAGGGUUUUAAACCCUAAACUGAAUUUUCCUUUUAGUCAGCAUUAGGGUUUUAAACCCCAAAACUGAACUUUUCCUUUCAGCCAGCAUUAGAGUUUUAAACUCUAAACUGAGCUUUUCCAUGCAAUCAGUAUUAGGGUUUUAAACCCUAAACUGAAUUUUCCUUUUAGUCAACAUUAGGGUUUUAAACCCUAAACUGAACUUUUCCUUUCAGUCAGCAUUAGAGUUUUAAACUCUAAACU
This 1161-nucleotide long non-coding RNA is filed under the name Nicotiana tabacum (common tobacco). Its description in RNAcentral is "long non-coding RNA (NTAB_LNC004970)". Lineage: Eukaryota; Viridiplantae; Streptophyta; Magnoliopsida; Solanales; Solanaceae. The record is from RNAcentral.